Heterocephalus glaber (naked mole-rat) is the source of this 2118-nucleotide long non-coding RNA. NCBI's taxonomy places the organism in Eukaryota, Metazoa, Chordata, Mammalia, Rodentia, Bathyergidae. The record is from Ensembl.
AAAAAAAAAAGUUCAAAUGCAGCCUUACAGUGAGGAUGGAGAUUGAAUUUGUGUCGGGGGUGGGGGGUGGGGGUGAAAGAGAGAAGGAGAAAGGGAAGAGAGAGAGAUACAGUGUGUGUGUGUGUGUAUUUGCGUGUGUUUGCCAAUCUGUGAAGGUCCUGAUUUGUGACCAUCAAUGUCUUUUUAACGUAUCUGCUCAACCUCUAGGACUUCAGGGGACAUUUCAUGCGUUGUCUUUGUGCUCUUCUGAGCACCAUAUAUGCUUUCCAAGAAUUUUGAAUGUGAACUCCUAGAAUUUCAGUAGAGAAUAAGUAGCUGUUGUUUAAUUAUUGCCAAGUUCAGGUGAAAGAAAUUAAUUCACUAAAAUUACAGGAUCUUAUUUACAUUGUAAUUUUUUAAAGAUCUCUUUUUUAGUAAUUCAUAUAUCUUCCUUGUUAAACAAGAGCAUGUACAAUUCUUAUGUGAUGAACAUUCAACUAGUAACAAUUAUUUUUAAACACCUGAACUAGUUAAAAUUCCACCUAAAAAUAGUCUUAAGAAUUUAAAUGGCAUCUCUCAUAUCUACCUCAUCAUUGCUGCCGUUUUAACUAAAGUAAAAACUAUGACAUCUGAAAUGGUGGUUGGAUGCAAUUUAAAAAUCUAUGUUGGUGCUUUUCUCAGGCUUUGUCAUUUAAGUUGUAUUGUCAAAGUCAGAUUGAAAAACUGAGAAUCAAUUUUUGUUUUCAUUGGAAAGAAUGGCUUAAAAUUAACCAUCAGUGUUGUUAGUGAGUGGAAAUAAUCUCUGGUUGGUGUAUAUCUGUGUGAUGUUUUUAACCAAGAUACAUUGUUACUGAAUUUACAUGAAAAAAAGUUCUAAGUGUAAUUUUAUUCAGCCUUUUUUGAAAGCUAUUUCUAGACUUAAUAAGUACAUAAUCAUUCAUUUUAUUUACUCAGAAGUUGCCUCUAUUAUUAUGUUACUUGUUUAUUUAUAUGAUUGCAGUAUUUUAAGUGUUCAACACUGGGAUUCUGGUUGUACAAAAGUACUAGCUAACUAAAGUGUGUAUAUUUUUGUGAAAUGUACCAAUUCCUAAACUCCAUUUUAGGGCAAAGUCCAGAAAACUAACAUACCUAUAUUUGAAAGCAAGAACACUAAUUUGAAUCAUUUUUACCUUUGCCAUUAAAAGCUUUUUAAUUAGCCACAUUCAUUAUCCAACUGGAUGACAAUACCAGUGUAAGGGAUUCCAGGUUAACAAAGUAUUUUACAGAUUCUUUAUAUUUUUAAUCAUAAAAAAAGUCUCACAAAUGUAAACCAAAAGGGAUCCAUAGAUUCCACAAAUUUAUUCUAGCAGUAUUCCUGAAGAGGUACUUAGGGAACAUAAUUUUCAGAAUCUUUGCUAAUCAGGCUUUAGGUUUUAUUUAACUGGGCCCACAUAUUUGACAUCCCUUUGAAGCAAAGUAGAAAGUUUGUUUUAAUUUAUAUUAACUCUAAUGUCUGCCUGUGUUUUUUAGCAGGCUGUGAACCAGUGAGUGCCUUGUUAAUGUAGAAUGACUUUCCCCCAUUGUACGUUAGCUCUCUCUGAAAAUGUCUCAAGAGAAUGGUAUUUUCACUGAGGUGUAGAGAGCUGCUAAAUUUGGCAUUAUCAGCAUUGGAAGUCUUGGAUCUAGCACAUACCCGUCUCCCUGCUUUCUCCAUUUUUUGGCUGAAGUUGGCCUCUUCUGAGAAACCAUACUUUUUUUUCCAGACCAGAUUAAGAAAUAACCCCUUAAGUCCCUCCCUUCUGUAUUAUCUAACACCUGUUUUUAGGAGGAACCACUAAUUUGUGAUACUAAAAUCUACUGGUUAUUUUAUGUCUUCUCAACCUUUGUUUAUUAGAGCUGAUCUCAGAGUAUCAUCAGUUUAGAUUCCUAAGUAACCUUUUCUCUCCACAUCCAAGCCCCCAGCUGGUGAGCCCUGGGCCAGAGUGUUGAUCUUCAGGUAUUUUACAUUUUAGUUAUAAUAUUGAUUAAUGUAAAUUAAUCCAAAUGCUAAUUUUUGUGGUGCAAGAAGUUUCCUUUGUAAAUUCAGGGUAUGGGUAAGCUAAUUAAGAUAUACAUUUUUGGUGGUUCUAAGUGUAUCAUUUGUUUUUAAAUAAAGUGUAC